ACGGGCGGAGUGUACAAGGCCCGGGAACGUAUUCACCGCGGCAUGCUGAUCCGCGAUUACUAGCAACUCCGACUUCAUGUGGGCGGGUUGCAGCCCACAAUCCGAACUGGGACCACUUUUUUGAGAUCCGCUCCCCCUUGCGGGUUUGCCCCUCUUUGUAGUGGCCAUUGUAGCACGUGUGUAGCCCAGGUCAUAAGGGGCAUGAUGAUUUGACGUCGUCCCCACCUUCCUCCGAGUUGUCCCCGGCAGUCUCAUUANAGUCCUCGCCUUUACGCGUUAAGUAACUAAUCAUAAGGGUUGCGCUCGUUGCGGGACUUAACCCAACAUCUCACGACACGAGCUGACGACAACCAUGCACCACCUGUCUCAGUACCCCCGAAGGGACACCUAAUCUCUUAAGCUUUUUACUGGGAUGUUCAAGACCUUGGUAA
RNAcentral lists this ribosomal RNA (431 nucleotides) under uncultured bacterium. RNAcentral's name for it is "partial 16S ribosomal RNA". The record is from RNAcentral.